RNAcentral lists this ribosomal RNA (2892 nucleotides) under Escherichia coli. RNAcentral's name for it is "bacterial LSU rRNA". It matches the Rfam family "Bacterial large subunit ribosomal RNA". Lineage: Bacteria; Pseudomonadati; Pseudomonadota; Gammaproteobacteria; Enterobacterales; Enterobacteriaceae. The record is from RNAcentral.
CCUGGCAGUCAGAGGCGAUGAAGGACGUGCUAAUCUGCGAUAAGCGUCGGUAAGGUGAUAUGAACCGUUAUAACCGGCGAUUUCCGAAUGGGGAAACCCAGUGUGUUUCGACACACUAUCAUUAACUGAAUCCAUAGGUUAAUGAGGCGAACCGGGGGAACUGAAACAUCUAAGUACCCCGAGGAAAAGAAAUCAACCGAGAUUCCCCCAGUAGCGGCGAGCGAACGGGGAGGAGCCCAGAGCCUGAAUCAGUGUGUGUGUUAGUGGAAGCGUCUGGAAAGGCGCGCGAUACAGGGUGACAGCCCCGUACACAAAAAUGCACAUGCUGUGAGCUCGAUGAGUAGGGCGGGACACGUGGUAUCCUGUCUGAAUAUGGGGGGACCAUCCUCCAAGGCUAAAUACUCCUGACUGACCGAUAGUGAACCAGUACCGUGAGGGAAAGGCGAAAAGAACCCCGGCGAGGGGAGUGAAAAAGAACCUGAAACCGUGUACGUACAAGCAGUGGGAGCACAGAGCAAUCUGUGUGACUGCGUACCUUUUGUAUAAUGGGUCAGCGACUUAUAUUCUGUAGCAAGGUUAACCGAAUAGGGGAGCCGAAGGGAAACCGAGUCUUAACUGGGCGUUAAGUUGCAGGGUAUAGACCCGAAACCCGGUGAUCUAGCCAUGGGCAGGUUGAAGGUUGGGUAACACUAACUGGAGGACCGAACCGACUAAUGUUGAAAAAUUAGCGGAUGACUUGUGGCUGGGGGUGAAAGGCCAAUCAAACCGGGAGAUAGCUGGUUCUCCCCGAAAGCUAUUUAGGUAGCGCCUCGUGAAUUCAUCUCCGGGGGUAGAGCACUGUUUCGGCAAGGGGGUCAUCCCGACUUACCAACCCGAUGCAAACUGCGAAUACCGGAGAAUGUUAUCACGGGAGACACACGGCGGGUGCUAACGUCCGUCGUGAAGAGGGAAACAACCCAGACCGCCAGCUAAGGUCCCAAAGUCAUGGUUAAGUGGGAAACGAUGUGGGAAGGCCCAGACAGCCAGGAUGUUGGCUUAGAAGCAGCCAUCAUUUAAAGAAAGCGUAAUAGCUCACUGGUCGAGUCGGCCUGCGCGGAAGAUGUAACGGGGCUAAACCAUGCACCGAAGCUGCGGCAGCGACACUGUGUGUUGUUGGGUAGGGGAGCGUUCUGUAAGCCUGUGAAGGUGUGCUGUGAGGCAUGCUGGAGGUAUCAGAAGUGCGAAUGCUGACAUAAGUAACGAUAAAGCGGGUGAAAAGCCCGCUCGCCGGAAGACCAAGGGUUCCUGUCCAACGUUAAUCGGGGCAGGGUGAGUCGACCCCUAAGGCGAGGCCGAAAGGCGUAGUCGAUGGGAAACAGGUUAAUAUUCCUGUACUUGGUGUUACUGCGAAGGGGGGACGGAGAAGGCUAUGUUGGCCGGGCGACGGUUGUCCCGGUUUAAGCGUGUAGGCUGGUUUUCCAGGCAAAUCCGGAAAAUCAAGGCUGAGGCGUGAUGACGAGGCACUACGGUGCUGAAGCAACAAAUGCCCUGCUUCCAGGAAAAGCCUCUAAGCAUCAGGUAACAUCAAAUCGUACCCCAAACCGACACAGGUGGUCAGGUAGAGAAUACCAAGGCGCUUGAGAGAACUCGGGUGAAGGAACUAGGCAAAAUGGUGCCGUAACUUCGGGAGAAGGCACGCUGAUAUGUAGGUGAAGUCCCUCGCGGAUGGAGCUGAAAUCAGUCGAAGAUACCAGCUGGCUGCAACUGUUUAUUAAAAACACAGCACUGUGCAAACACGAAAGUGGACGUAUACGGUGUGACGCCUGCCCGGUGCCGGAAGGUUAAUUGAUGGGGUCAGCGCAAGCGAAGCUCUUGAUCGAAGCCCCGGUAAACGGCGGCCGUAACUAUAACGGUCCUAAGGUAGCGAAAUUCCUUGUCGGGUAAGUUCCGACCUGCACGAAUGGCGUAAUGAUGGCCAGGCUGUCUCCACCCGAGACUCAGUGAAAUUGAACUCGCUGUGAAGAUGCAGUGUACCCGCGGCAAGACGGAAAGACCCCGUGAACCUUUACUAUAGCUUGACACUGAACAUUGAGCCUUGAUGUGUAGGAUAGGUGGGAGGCUUUGAAGUGUGGACGCCAGUCUGCAUGGAGCCGACCUUGAAAUACCACCCUUUAAUGUUUGAUGUUCUAACGUGGACCCGUGAUCCGGGUUGCGGACAGUGUCUGGUGGGUAGUUUGACUGGGGCGGUCUCCUCCUAAAGAGUAACGGAGGAGCACGAAGGUUGGCUAAUCCUGGUCGGACAUCAGGAGGUUAGUGCAAUGGCAUAAGCCAGCUUGACUGCGAGCGUGACGGCGCGAGCAGGUGCGAAAGCAGGUCAUAGUGAUCCGGUGGUUCUGAAUGGAAGGGCCAUCGCUCAACGGAUAAAAGGUACUCCGGGGAUAACAGGCUGAUACCGCCCAAGAGUUCAUAUCGACGGCGGUGUUUGGCACCUCGAUGUCGGCUCAUCACAUCCUGGGGCUGAAGUAGGUCCCAAGGGUAUGGCUGUUCGCCAUUUAAAGUGGUACGCGAGCUGGGUUUAGAACGUCGUGAGACAGUUCGGUCCCUAUCUGCCGUGGGCGCUGGAGAACUGAGGGGGGCUGCUCCUAGUACGAGAGGACCGGAGUGGACGCAUCACUGGUGUUCGGGUUGUCAUGCCAAUGGCACUGCCCGGUAGCUAAAUGCGGAAGAGAUAAGUGCUGAAAGCAUCUAAGCACGAAACUUGCCCCGAGAUGAGUUCUCCCUGACCCUUUAAGGGUCCUGAAGGAACGUUGAAGACGACGACGUUGAUAGGCCGGGUGUGUAAGCGCAGCGAUGCGUUGAGCUAACCGGUACUAAUGAACCGUGAGGCUUAACCUUACAACGCCGAAGGUGUUU